Molecule: non-coding RNA, 45 nt
Organism: Picea glauca (white spruce)
Lineage: Eukaryota; Viridiplantae; Streptophyta; Pinopsida; Pinales; Pinaceae
Source: Rfam
AUAACGGUGUCUUUAGACACCACCCUUUAUAUUCAAAAAUCUUUG